This 295-nucleotide unclassified non-coding RNA is filed under the name Sinorhizobium arboris. RNAcentral describes it as "partial ribonuclease P RNA". It matches the Rfam family "Bacterial RNase P class A", at positions 62 to 334 of the family's 367-position model. From Rfam's summary of the family: Ribonuclease P (RNase P) is a ubiquitous endoribonuclease, found in archaea, bacteria and eukarya as well as chloroplasts and mitochondria. Its best characterised activity is the generation of mature 5'-ends of tRNAs by cleaving the 5'-leader elements of precursor-tRNAs. Lineage: Bacteria; Pseudomonadati; Pseudomonadota; Alphaproteobacteria; Hyphomicrobiales; Rhizobiaceae. The record is from RNAcentral.
CGGAAACACGGUGCCGGAUAACGUCCGGCGGGGGUGACCCCAGGGAAAGUGCCACAGAAAGCAGACCGCUCCGCUUGCGGAGUAAGGGUGAAAGGGUGGGGUAAGAGCCCACCGCGGCCAUGGCAACAUGGACGGCACGGCAAACCCCACCGGGAGCAAGACCGAAUAGGGACGACACGGGUGCGCAAGCGCCCAGCCGGUUUCCAGGCGCGUCGUCCGGGUGGGUUGCACGAGGCUGCGCGCAAGCGCAGUCCCAGAUGAAUGGCUGCCACGUUUCGUCUCCUCGGAGGCGAAG